AUGGGGAAAAAAUGGGAGAAAAAUGGGAAAAAAUGGGGAAAAAAUGGGAAAAAAGGGGGAAAAAUGGGAAAAAAAUGGGAGAAAAAUGGGAAAAAAUUGGGAAAAAAUGUGAAAAAAUGGGAGAAAAAUAGGAAAAAAAUGGGAAAAAAAUGGGAGAAAAAUAGGAAAAAAUGGGGAAAAUGUUGGAAAAGGUGGCAAAGGUGGAAUUUUUUUGGGAAUUGCAGCCAGGGUGACGCAGCUGAUCCGGGGAUUCUCCGGGAGCUGGAAAAGCGCGGUGGAGACGCUGAGCCAGGACGUGAUGAGAUCCUUCAGCAACUUCCGAAUCGGCACCGGCAUCAUCCAGGCGGCGCUGACGCAGCUGAUCCAGGUCUAUCACCGCUUCCAGAAGAUUCUGGAGCAGCCCCCGCUGCGGGCGCUGCCGGCCCGAGCCGACCUCAUCAACAUCCACCACCUGAUGGUGGAGCUGAAGAAACACAAACCCAAUUUUUAGGGAAUUCGGCCCAAAAUCCCGGGAAUUCUUCUCGAAUCCUGGGAAUUCUCAUUGUUUGCAGAUCUCAAAUAGGUCCGGAAUCGACGAGGGGGUUUUUUUUUCUUGUGAAAUUCUCGUUUUUUUCGCCUGAAAUUCCCAUUUUUUCCCUCCCAAAAUUCCCAUUUUUUCUCCUCCUGAAAUUCUCAUUUUUCCCCCAUAAAAUUCCCAUUUUUCCCUCCCAAAAUUCCCGGUUUUUCCCUCCCAAAAUUCCCAAUUUUCCCCCCAAAAUUCCGAAUUUUCCCCCCCAAAUUCCCAUUUUUCCCCCCCCAAAAUUCCUCUUUUACCCCUCACAAAAUUCCCAUUUUACCCCUCACAAAAUUCCUCAUUUUUCUCUCCUGGAAUUCCCAUUUUUCCCUCCCAAAAUUCCCCUUUUACCCCCUCACAAAAUUCCCAUUUUUCCCCCCCAAAAUUCCCAUUUUUCCCUCCCAAAAUUCCCAUUUUUCCCCCCAAAAUUCCCAUUUUUUCCUCCAAAAUUCCCAUUUUUCCCCCCAAAAUUCCCAUUUUUCCCCCAAAAUUCCCAUUUUCCCCCCAAAACUCCCAAAUUUUCCCCCCAAAUUCCCAUUUUUCCCCCAAAAUUCCCAAUUUUUCCCCCAAAAUUCCCAUUUUUCCCCCCAAAAUUCCCGAUUUUCCCCCCAAAAAUUCCAGGUGGGAAUAAAAACCG
Molecule: long non-coding RNA, 1190 nt
Filed under: Cyanistes caeruleus (blue tit)
Lineage: Eukaryota; Metazoa; Chordata; Aves; Passeriformes; Paridae
Description: lncRNA (ENSCCEG00000001005.1)
Source: RNAcentral